Molecule: ribosomal RNA, 592 nt
Filed under: uncultured bacterium
Lineage: Bacteria
Description: bacterial SSU rRNA
Rfam family: Bacterial small subunit ribosomal RNA
Source: RNAcentral
CAGGAUGAACGCUGGCGGCGUGCUUAACACAUGCAAGUCGAACGGGAAGCGGCGCCUAUUACUUCGGUGAUUUGGCGCCGUGGAGAGUGGCGAACGGGUGCGUAACACGUAGGUAACCUGCCCUGAAAGGGGGGAUAACCACGGGAAACUGUGGCUAAUACCGCAUAAUCUCGCCGAGACGGUGGUUUCGGUGAGGAAAGCUGAGGCGAUUUGGGAGGGGCCUGCGGUCGAUUAGCUUGUUGGUGGGGUAAUGGCCUACCAAGCCGACGACGGGUAGCUGGUCUGAGAGGACGAUCAGCCAGAGGGGGACUGAGACACGGCCCCCACUCCUACGGGAGGCAGCAGCAGGGGAUCUUGGGCAAUGGGCGAAAGCCUGACCCAGCGACGCCGCGUGGGGGACGAAGGCCCUUGGGUCGUAAACCCCUUUUCCAAGGGACGAUAAUGACGGUACCUUGGGAAUAAGCCCCGGCUAACUACGUGCCAGCAGCCGCGGUAAAACGUAGGGGGCAAGCGUUACCCGGAAUUACUGGGCGUAAAGGGCAUGUAGGCGGCUCGGUCCGUCGUCGGUGAAAGGCCCCGGCUUUAACCGGGG